This is a long non-coding RNA of Lolium rigidum, 482 nucleotides long. RefSeq lists it as uncharacterized. The transcript has 2 exons. The record is from RefSeq and is a predicted model, not a curated record. Lineage: Eukaryota; Viridiplantae; Streptophyta; Magnoliopsida; Poales; Poaceae.
CAGCUAAGCUGAGCUUGGAUAUGGGGUCCUUUGCUAAAACUGCGCGUUUCCUGGUGCUCCUCCAGAUCGCCUUGUUCAUCGUCUCAGCCGUCAUCAUGAACAGCUCAGUCUGCCAUGGAGCUCACGAUGGAGGAAUCGGUUACCCUUCUUUGAACCCUAACCAUCCUUCGUGCGCCAGAAAACCGUGCCCGUCGCCUGGUCAGCCCUACACCGGCGGACCCCCUCCCCCAAACAACGGAGGAAUUGGACGGCCUUGAUGCAUCAUGUCUCCCUCUAGCAGUGCAAGUUACUACCACGAUCUUGCACUGAAUCGGCAGCAAUAUUGUCUCGUGUACUUACUACGUUUUAAAACUUCAAAUAAAACUGGAUGCCUGGCCCUGAUAUCAAUAUGGUUGUGCGAACAUGAAACUUCGGUUCAGAAUUAGUAAAAGACAUUGAUGAGAGCGCACUGUAUAGCUAAGUGUUGCUUCCUAUUUGAUUCA